RNAcentral lists this ribosomal RNA (374 nucleotides) under uncultured organism. Its description in RNAcentral is "partial 16S ribosomal RNA". It matches the Rfam family "Bacterial small subunit ribosomal RNA", at positions 527 to 896 of the family's 1533-position model. The record is from RNAcentral.
GGAGGAGGCAAGCGUUGUUCGGAAUUACUGGGCUUAAAGCGUGCGUAGGCGGGAUGGCAGGUGUCGUGUGAAAGCCCUCGGCUCAACCGAGGAAUUGUUCGGCAAACCGUCAUUCUUGAGGCCAGCAGGGGAACCUGGAACUUUGGGUGGAGCGGUGAAAUGCGUAGAUAUCCAAGGGAACGCCGGUGGCGAAAGCGGGGUUCUGGGCUGGUUCUGACGCUGAGGCACGAAAGCGUGGGUAGCAAACAGGAUUAGAUACCCUGGGUAGUCCACGCUGUAAACGAUGCGCACUAGGUAUCAGCGCCCUCUGACGGGGUUGGUGCCCGCAGCGAAAGCAUUAAGUGCGCCGCCUGGGGAGUACGGCCGCAAGGCUA